RNAcentral lists this long non-coding RNA (9891 nucleotides) under Populus tremula. RNAcentral's name for it is "long non-coding RNA (PTRE_LNC003444)". The record is from RNAcentral. Lineage: Eukaryota; Viridiplantae; Streptophyta; Magnoliopsida; Malpighiales; Salicaceae.
AAUUUUGAAAUAUCACAGAAAAAAACACAAAACCUAAACGUAAACCUAAAACCCAUUUUUUUUAAGGCAGCCGCCGCCCCCUCCCCCUGGUUUUAAUUUUUUUUCGACAGCUGCCGGCCACAAGAAAAAAUCCAAGACAGCUCCCCGAUCCUCCUCUCGGCUGUUUCUCCCUUUCUUCUCCUUCGGCUACUCAUCCUUCAGAAACCAGAGCCGGCUUAUUCUCCCCUUUCCACUUUCAAAGCCAGCAGCCCCCACCUCUCCUUCAUUUCUUUCUCCAGCUUCUCCCCUCAACCAUGGCCGCCCCUAUUUUUUCAAAAAAAUAGAAAAACACCACUUGAAAACAAAGACAGCCCCGAACCCCUCCCUCUUUUUUCUUCUCCUCAGCCGCCGGACAAGCCUCACCCCAGGCCAUUUUUUUUUUUCGUUUCUCUUCUCCCUUCAGCCGGGCGGAUCUUCAGCUCCCUUCAACAGAAAAUAGAAGGAAAGCCCCCGCUACUCCCAUUUCCUUAUCUCCCUUUCAGCAGCGGCUCCUCCCCACAGAGCCGUUCUCCCACCUCCACCAAGCCACCGAUCUGCCACCCGAAGCAGAGGAGAAGAAGACGAAACCCAGCGCCCACCGGACAAGCAGCAGCAAGGCCAGCCACCGCUGUUCCUUUCCCCAGCAGCGUCGCUCCCCCUUUUUGCAACCGCCAGAUCCACCACCAGAAAUAGAGGAGAAGAAGACACCCACAACCGCCGGCCAUCUGAACAGAAGAAGAGGUAACGGAAACAAUCUGCAGAGAGGGGCAGAUCGAAGACGGCGGAGAAAGAAAGAACAACAAAAAAACAGAUUUGAAAAAACUAAGAAAAAACUUAAAAUCGACUGCCCUUGCUGUCUGUGUUUUUUUAUUUACAGGUAACACCGGCGAGGACGGGAAGAGGGGAUGAAGCUGCCACCAGACCUCCUGCUGCGUUUUUUUCGGGGCGGCGCGUGAGCCCACGCGCCGCCAGUCACGGCGGUGCGUGGGGUCCACGCGCCGCUGCUGUUCAGGCAGCCCAGAACUGUUCCUGAAGGGUUUUCCAGCACUGUUAUGGAUUGUUUAGGGACCAUUUUGUAAAUUUUAAAGUUUUAAUGUAAUUUUUGUUUAUUUAUUUUAAAUUUGUAAUAUGUGAAUGUAAAAAAAAAAAAAGAAGAAAAGAAAAGAAAAUAAUAAUAAAAAAGGGGAUGUGUGUGUUGGUGUAUUUUAUUUAUUUAUUUUGAAUUUGAAUUUGUAUUUGUAUUUGUAUUGUGGAUGUAAAAGAAAAGAAAGAAAAAAAAGAAAAAAAAGAAAAAAUAGUGAAACUGUAUGUGUAUAUGUGUUUGUAUUUUAUUUUUAUUUAUUUGUUUUUUUUUUUUACGAUAAAAUUGCAAAAUAUAUUAAAGAAGAAUUUAAUAUUUUGAUCGGAUCACGGUUAAGAAUUAUUAACUUAUACGUAAGUGAUAUUUCUAAUUUCCGACGAAAAGACAAUUAUUAAAACUUCUUUAACACGUCAAAGCCACGAAGCAGCUUACCUCAGGUAGGGUGCGUUAGGGGUGCUAAUACCUUCCCUAACCACAACCAGUUCCUUACCCGCGAAUCUCUGACAGGACCAGUGCAUCCGGUUUCCUAGUAGCCUUCAAUAAAUUACUAGGUGGCGACUCUAACGAACGAAUUCAAAACAAACGCAACAACGAGAUGAAAAAUCGCCAACCGAUGCCGCGCGCUGAUUUUUUGGGGUGCGACAGAAUGGCGACUCCACUGGGGAAGGUAUUUUUUCCGAUUAUUGGACUAAGCUUUGUGUAUUUGAUGUGUUUAAGUUUUUGCAUUUUUAUCUUUUUGUUAAUAUUUAUUUCCAUGCAUUUUAUAGAAUUGUCUCAUGCAUCACCUGUAUUUAUUUUUAAAAGCACACACAAGCUUCUAGGUUAGGUGGGGAACUAGCGAUCUGCCCUAAGACUAUUGGUCAGGGUUCAGAUGCGUGAAACACCCAACUCAUAUCUGAGUGCCUGCUUGGUAAUGGUGGGUAUAUGUGCCUUACCCUUUCCUUGCAACGCCCCCAAACUGUCUUUACGAAGAACGUCACUGGGCAGAUAUGAGACCCUUUUGAGACCAGAUAGAAAAAUUACCCAUGUUCACAUAAUGAAUAGAACCUGUCCUUAGGUUGUAUGUGCUAUCGUUUUUUGCAUAAGGGCAAACCCUUCUUGAAGCAUCUUGAACUCAAGACUUGUGGGUGACACAUUGGUCGUUGCUCCGAAAAUUUUCAUUGUAGAGUUUGGGCAAAAAUCACGAUUCUUGUCCAUCAUACAAGAGUUACGACCAUAUUGUCACCUCUCGAAGGGAGAGUUCAUCAUAUAGAUUACAUGUUCAUACAUUUAUCAUGCAUGAACCGGGUCGAAACGUAGGUCCCUUGUACAAGUUGUGCUGCACGAGAUUGAAGAAAAAUAAUGGAAGUGAACAAAGGAGUCAGAUAUAGGUUCAGUAUCAGAUUAAGGUUGAGAGCAUCAAGAGUGAAGUAGCGGGACUCAGAUCUGCUCGAACAAGUGUUGAGCAUCAAAUGAAAAGAGAAUGUCUGCACAGUUUGCUGUGGGAACACUGCUUGUUCACGUCCAAUUGAAGAUGUACCUUUCCUUUUCAGUCAUGAACAACAGCAACAACGCCUUCAGUCAUCAACUAAUGACAACUCUGAUUCCUGUCCAGUUGCGCUGUUAAGUAUUCAUCGCCUCCACAUCAUCUAAUGGAACCAAACGACUACUAACCUCCUGUUCAUGGUGCAUUAGUCUGCUUUGAAGUUACCCCAAUUAUGAGCUCAAUUCCAGUUCAGCAGCACAAGAUGUUGGUCUAAAAAAAAAACCAUGAUCAGACACUGAAUUUCAACGCGGUAGAGCUCUCUCUGUAGAGAUUUAUUUGUGGAUCUGUCAAUGGCAAAUGCAAAAGGGAAUGUAUUAAUUUCAUAUGCUUUGAAACUAUUUCCCACCAGUGGCACCAGCAAAACAUUGUAGUAGGCAGAAGAGUCAGACCUGGUCUGAUAAUAUUAGUAGUUGUCAAACUUCAAUGUGGCAGAGCUCUCUCUACAAAAAUCCAUUUAUGGCUCUGCAAAUUGGGAAUGCAAGAGGGGAUUUACUAAUUGCAUAUGCUACAAAUAUUUCUCUCAUCAGUUUCAGCACGAAGAAACUAUAGCAGGUUGAAGAGCCAGACUUGGCUUGAAAAAUAUGAGCAGACAUCAAACUUCAACGUAGCAGAGCUCUCCGACAGGAAUCUGUUUGUGGAUCCGCAAGUGUGAAAUCCAAGAAGGAAUACAGUAGUUUCAGAUCAUUUAUGAUUUUUCUCCAACAGUGUCAGUAUUAAAAUGCAAAAGUAGAGAGAAGAUACAUGCCUAGACUGAAAAACAUGAAGAAUACUGAAACUUCAACAGAGCAGGACUUCCUCUAUAGGUGUUUGUUUGCUGCACUGUCAGUGAGAAAUUGAAGAGGGGACGAAGGAGUUUUAGAUUCAUCAGGUGCUCUUCCAAUAAAGACAAUGUGUGAUUCCACACGUCGGUAGUGGCGAUACUAGAAGUUUCUGGAUGCUGCCAAGAUUACCAAGCUGUUAGAAAGUUUUCUAACAAUCCUCAACCAACCAUAGCAACAUUGGAAGAUUGAAGGAUCUGCCAUGGAUUCUAGAACAAUGAUGAGAGGUGAAUCAGGAGAUGACUUUGACAGUGUAAACCCUUAAUUAUGUGGUAUAGCCAAGUCUCACGGCAUCAUCAAUUGCUCAAAAUAUCUUUGCCAAGAUGGGACAUUGCUCUGCCGUUUAAGUUGUCGACCAGCAUCCACAAGAUUCCAGAAUUUUGCUUGACUCCGACAAAUUCCCAUGCAACCACCAAUUUCUUAGUGGUAUAAUCCAGAUAAGAGAUGUGAUGUCAUGGUGGGGUCCUCAACCAUUUCAAGUGAACAGUUUCAAGAAUAGCAAGAAUUGAGUCUGGAAGUUGGUGAGCAAGAGACAGGUGGAGUCGUUGAAGAAGGGUGUCACUGGCUAUAUUGUUCCCCGAACAUCUUCAGAAGGACAUGUGAUCGAAAAUGCUUGGCAAAACACAGAUAUUGCCAGAAAAGCUGAUUCGAGAAGGGUGAUGAACAGUCAAUCAUAUUGUUAUGGAAUUCUGCAUUUUGUUUUGGGAUCACAUCUCAUCCUUCAACGAAACAUGCCUUGCUUUUGUCUCUUUGUUGUUUUGAAAUCAACAGAUGUUUAGCAUUUUAUUCUGACAAAAUAUUUUGAUCAAACUACAACAUGCGAUAAAGGUUAAUCAAUCCGGAAGAUUAGAAGUGUUUUGAUUACAGAAAUGACUCUAUGCUUGAAAAUGACAUGAGGUGACCAAACAAUUUUGAACUCAUACCUCCUGAAACUGAACCACACAUCAUAUAGCUAAGUUUUAACAGUAUGCAUAAUGACAUGUAGUGGAUUCGGUAGUCAUGGACUCGUGAAUCAUGAUUCUUACAAGUCCCAAUCAUUACACUGGAUGAGGUCAAAAUUUAUCGGUUAUAACCGACCUUGCUUGAAAUGAGAAAAGGCCAUCUUUGAUAUCCCUUCACUUUCUAAAGAUUAUAUCCCUUGCAGUCCCAUUUUGAGCCUGGUAAAAUAUUUUCUUUCAAAAAAAGAAACCCUGACUAGGAUCACACCCCACACUGGGGGCAAAUGAGAGAUAUUUUGGAGACAUUGAUAUAAUUAAUGGAUAAAGGGGAAGGCUUAGAACAAAGGUCCAAUGAUUGAGAGAGAGCUAAAAGAAAACACAUAGACUGGGGGCAUAUAAGAAAAUUUUGAGGAAGGCUAUGAAAAAAAAAAAAGAGAAUGAAAAAAGGAAGUUGAAAUUGCCUUCACUUAAAUACAAGUCAAAGAUAAAGGAAGGAGAACGCCUAUCAAGUCUAUGAAGAGCAAAAGAAAUUUCAAUCAAGGAAAGGCACAACAAAAGUCAAUACCAGAAAAAAGACUAAGCUAUAAGCGUUGACUUUUGGUAUCCGUUAUAAAACCUAUGAUGAUUUAAGGUUGGUUAUUCCUCAAAGAAAGUUGGAUUUGCAUUAUGACUUAUGUUAAGAAAAGUCGGAACUUUGAGGUUAACAAGGUUAUAUGUCGUUUCCUCUAUAAAGACAACAAUAGAAAACAAGUUGAUGAAUAGUUGAUGUUGAUCCUAGGUCUUUGAAACCCUCAAACACCUUUUGAGCCUGUGAAAUUCCUUUCUUUCAUAGCCAUGAACCAUAGCCUGCAUUACAUGCUUUUUAAAGCCCUUUUUAAUCAAGCAAGCAACUUGAACCGAUAAAUGGCGCUCUCAAAACUUGAAGAGUUUUUCCAUAAGAGUCGUGACUUCAUGAAUUAAGUUACCGGUCGUUAUGCAUGUUGAUAAAAUUAUUGCUAAAAACAAAACAUGUUUCCUUCAUGAAUCCUCAAGUUUUGACUUGAGCCUGUUGUUUUCCUUGAAAUUCACAGAAGGUCACCUCACCAUAAACUAUCAAAUGAUAUACCCAAUAUCAAGGAUUCAAAUUGAUACAAAGAACCAUGGAAAAAGCCAUUUUUAAUCCUACAUUGGGUCAAUUUCUGUUUUCAAAAUGCAUGACAAUCAAAGGACUAUAUAUUUCGAAUAAAAUGUGUUGGGCCUUUGAUCAAAAAGCUUGAUUUUCAAAAGAUUUUAAAAAAAAAAGACAUCUCUGAUUUCAUUUCAACAAAUUAGACUUUGAAUAGACAUGAUCUUUGAAAUAUGAGAGUUGAUUCCAAAACAAGGAAGAUCAUCAAACACAGAAGAACAUUGAUUGAGUAUGCAAAAUCGUUGAUAGAAAUGACAUUGAAGUCCUCGACACUCCUUGAAAAGUUGAGCAGCUGGGGGCAAUACAGUAGACCUUGAAAAGGAAAAACAAGCAGUGUUCAGAUCAGCUAUGAGGCAAUGAUUAAAUGAUGAAUCAGUGAACUGAAGACAAUGAUGUUCAGAGACAGAUAGUCAAUGAACGAGCACAUUCAGAUUAUGCCGGGGGCAUUGUCAUUCCAAAAUGGCCCAUGCUCUAGUGAACCCUGUCGGCAAUGGAGAAACAAGGAUGUAUUUGAAGGACACUUUCAUAUCAUCAUCUUUUGAAACAUGGCUAGCAAUCGAUGACGAUACACAGAUGAAUGUAAUUGGUGAAAAGAUGCACACCACCAAGACUGACUGUGGAACAAUGCUGCACUUAAAGGACUAUCUCAUAUUGUCAUUCUUUGAAACAUGGUUAUAGACAGAGGUUAUCACACAACUGCACUGAAUGAAUGUUGGAAAGGCACCCACCUCGAAGACUGAUUGUGGGACAUCUAUUCUGAAGCUCAAAUGCGCACUUCACCGCAUGAAUAUGGGUGAUAACAUGAACAUCAUUGAUGAUGCCAAAGCAGGUAUUUUCAUGAUCUGAUUUGACAAGCUAAGAGGAAUCCAUAGAGAAAUACAUCGCGCUUACAAUGAUGAGCUGUUUACUGCAAAGCAUGAGAUACAUGUCUGGAUGACUUGGCAGUUCCAUGAAGGCUGGUGACCAUACACACUUGAAUGGUGUUUCAACCGAAGGCAAGUUCAUGAUUGAUUAACAAACGUGAUGGGUGUUGGCAUGAUGCACACAAUCAAUCAGAGGAUAAUUUCUCAGAAGAAGCCAGGAGAGAAAAUCUCUCAUGAUGAAUCAAGCAGUACUACACUUGGGGGCAGGGUCAAGCUUCAUGAACGAUGCAAGCAAUAAUUGUCGAAGACAGCCCGGGAUGGGCACUGCAUUUACAGCUGAGUGGAUGGCUAACACAUGAAUGAGCCAAUAUAUCGGAAAAACAAAGAAAGCUUUGGGAUACAAACAAGGGCACCCUAUGACGAUGGAGCAUCAAAGAGGGGGGACCUAUUAUUUCAAAUCAGGUAAGGAUGCAUGCAUAUCAUCUAACCUCAAAAAAAAAAAAAAAAAAAACCAUUUGCACAGAUUUUUGAACUGUUACAGGAAAAUCCUUAAUGAGGUCCAGCAAGAUAGUGGAAAGAGAAAGAAGCAUUGUGGUGAUGAUAAUAAAGAAUCGGUUUUGAUCAUGGAAUAAAAGGACGAUGGGAUGAACCCUACCAUUAGGAAAAUCCCAAAGAAAUGAAUAGAUCAACCUUGCAACCGGGAAGCCUCGAGUUUUCAACCCUUGCAGUCAGGAAACAUCGAGUUUUCAAACCCCAUGAUCGGGAAUUAUCAGGAAGCACCAAGUCUUUCAGCCCUUUCUUCUGUCAUCCCUUCAGAACUUCGCCAGGUAAGCCCUAUUUUUCACACUUGUCAUAUCACAUUCUUUCCAUCUGGGUAGGUCACCCAUCAUAAUGAGACCAUUUUUGUUCACAUUCUUUCCACCUGGGUUGGUCACCCAUGACAAUGAGACCGUGUUUUUCACAUUUUUUCCAUCCGGGUAGGUCACCCAUGACAAUGAGACCACACUUCAUCAUUUUUUUUCCAUCUGGGUAGGUCACCCAUUACAAUGAGACCGCACUUCAUAUUUUCUCCAUCUGGGUAGGUCACCCAUACGAUGAGACCAUCAUUUUUCCGGGGUUCGUCACCCAUACAAUGAGACCAUCAUUUUUCUGGGUUCGUCACCCAUACAAUGAGACCAUCAUAUUUCUAGGGUUCGUCACCCGUACAAUGAGACCAGCAUUUUUCUAGGGUUCGUCACCCGUACAAUGAGACCAGCACUAGGGUUUGUCACCCGUACAAUGAGACCAGCAGCACUAGGGUUCGUCACCCGUACAAUGAGACCAUCAUUUUUCGAGGGUUAGUCACCCGUACAAUGAGACCAGAAUGAGGUCGCCAGAUGGGAUCUCAUGUAGCUUUGGUUAAAGGGAAUCGCCAGAUGGGAUUUCAGGUUAACCGAGUUACACAUAUUUCGUUUUAGUUGAAUGAGGUCGCCAGAUGGGAUCUCAUGUAACUUUGGUUAAAGGGAAUCGCCAGAUGGGAUUUCAGGUUAACCGAGUUACACAGUUUAGUUCCAAUUGAAUGAGGUCGCCAGAUGGGAUCUCAUGUAGCUUUGGUUAAAGGGAAUCGCCAGAUGGGAUUUCAGGUUAACCGAGUUACACACAUUUUCGUUCCAGUUGAAUGAGGUCGCCAGAUGGGAUCUCAGGUAGCUUUGGUUAAAGGGAAUAGCCAGAUGGGAUUUCAGGUUAACCGAGUUACACACAGUUUAGUUCCAAUUGAAUGAGGUCGCCAGAUGGGAUCUCAUGUAGCUUUGGUUAAAGGGAAUCGCCAGAUGGGAUUUCAGGUUAACCGAGUUACACAAUAUUUUCGUUCCAGUUGAAUGAGGUCGCCAGAUGGGAUCUCAGGUAAACCCAAUGUGUGGGCAGGUCGCCCGUGAAAAUAGACUAUUGGGAGAGUGUGGGUCGGUCGCCCGUGAAAAUAGACUAGAGUGAGUAUGUGUAGGCAGGUUGCCCAAGAUAAUGAAAUCAUUUUCCUUUUGUUUUCUUUACAAAGCUUACUAUGCAAAAUUUUAAGGAUUUUCGCUUCGUAAGCAUUGUAAAGAGGGGGCAUCUGUUGCUACCCAAUUUUUGACCCAUGUUUUUGAUAUAUUUUUCAAAAAAAUCCAAAAAUAGAGAAAAACAAUGAAAAUCCAAAAAAUAUGUUUUUUUUAAUAUAUUCUCGUCAUUUUAGCAUUUUCAGCGUCGUCUAAAAAGAUUUUAAUUUUUAUUUAAAGAAUUUAAUUUUUCAAAAGAUUUUCGAACGCGUUCGACUUUUCACGCGUCAUUUUUAAAAUCAUUGAUUUUCCGUAUUUUGAGUCGACGUUGAUAUUGCUCGUUUUCAAAAAAUACAAAAAAAAUAAUAAAAAUCAAAAUUUACAAAAAGAAAGAAGUUGAGGGACCAAGUUGAAAAACCUAGCAAAAUUUUGUCUAUAAAUACUGGUUUCCAACACUUGUAAAGGGGGGGGGGCAAUUUUGAAAUAUCACAGAAAAAAACACAAAACCUAAACGUAAACCUAAAACCCAUUUUUUUUAAGGCAGCCGCCGCCCCCUCCCCCCUGGUUUUAAUUUUUUUUCGACAGCUGCCGGCCACAAGAAAAAAAUCCAAGACAGCUCCCCGAUCCUCCUCUCGGCUGUUUCUCCCUUUCUUCUCCUUCGGCUACUCAUCCUUCAGAAACCAGAGCCGGCUUAUUCUCCCCUUUCCACUUUCAAAGCCAGCAGCCCCCACCUCUCCUUCAUUUCUUUCUCCAGCUUCUCCCCUCAACCAUGGCCGCCCCUAUUUUUUCAAAAAAAUAGAAAAACACCACUUGAAAACAAAGACAGCCCCGAACCCCUCCCUCUUGAUUUUCUUCUUCCUCAGCCGCCGGACAAGCCUCGCCCCAGGCCAUUUUUUUCUUCGUUUAUCUUCUCCCUUCAGCCGGGCGGAUCUUCAGCUCCUUUCAACAGAAAACAGAAGGAAAGCCCCCGCUACUCCCAUUUCCUUAUCUCCCUUUCAGCAGCGGCUCCUCCCCACAGAGCCGUUCUCCCACCUCCACCAAGCCACCGAUCUGCCACCCGAAGCAGAGGAGAAGAAGACGAAACCCAGCGCCCACCGGACAAGCAGCAGCAAGGCCAGCCACCGCUGUUCCUUUCCCCAGCAGCGUCGCUCCCCCUUUUUGCAACCGCCGGAUCCACCACCAGAAAUAGAGGAGAAGAAGACACCCACAACCGCCGGCCAUCUGAACAGAAGAAGAGGAAACGGAAACAAUCUGCAGAGAGGGGCAGAUCGAAGACGGCGGAGAAAGAAAGAACAAAAAAAAACAGAUUUGAAAAAACUAAGAAAAAACUUAAAAUCGACUGCCCUUGCUGUCUGUGUUUUUUUAUUUACAGGUAACACCGGCGAGGACGGGAAGAGGGGAUGAAGCUGCCACCAGACCUCCUGCUGCGUUUUUUUCGGGGCGGCGCGUGAGCCCACGCGCCGCCAGUCACGGC